GGCCUCGUGGCGCAACGGUAGCGCGUUCGACUCCAGAUCGAAAGGUUAUCCGUUCAAAUCGGGUCGGGGUCA
Molecule: transfer RNA, 72 nt
Organism: Podospora anserina
Lineage: Eukaryota; Fungi; Ascomycota; Sordariomycetes; Sordariales; Podosporaceae
Rfam family: tRNA
About the family: Transfer RNA (tRNA) molecules are approximately 80 nucleotides in length. Their secondary structure includes four short double-helical elements and three loops (D, anti-codon, and T loops).
Source: Rfam